CCUGCCCUUACAUCCGAGCCUCGCCCAGGCUAAGCAGCGACUGAUGACAGGUCGCUAGUGCACAAGAACGGAAGUAGAGCGAAGAACGCAUGCGACGCACAGCGAGAAACCGGUGUUUUGUGAUGUCGCGUGAGACACUUUCAACGAGGAGGACAAGAAUAAUGAACAGCUUCUAGAAUAAAAGCGUGGAUCACCUGAACUUUUUGAUAAUCAGCAGUAUGGAUCGCAGUCUGACCAUUGUGUUAUUUGGAAACUCUGCUGCAGUCCAGUUCCAACAUGACAAUUUUCUUCUUGGAGAAAUACAACCAAAUAUUGGAAAUGCAACAGUAUCCAGGACUGUUCCUGUUCAGAUGAAGAAAUCAGGACAUCACGUGUCAAUGAUCAACCUGAUUGGCUUGCAUGAGACUGCAGUUGACCUGGACGCUCUCAGUGGCCAACUAGUAAAUGAAAAUGAAAUCAUCGCCUUCAUCUUUGUUGUGCGACUGGGCCAGUUAACAGAUUCUGAUAAGAUGGGUAUUGAGUGGC
Molecule: long non-coding RNA, 525 nt
Organism: Cyprinus carpio (common carp)
Lineage: Eukaryota; Metazoa; Chordata; Actinopteri; Cypriniformes; Cyprinidae
Exons: 3
Source: RefSeq, a predicted model, not a curated record